GAUGAACGCUGGCGGCGUGCCUAAUACAUGCAAGUCGAGCGAACAGACAAGGAGCUUGCUCCUCUGACGUUAGCGGCGGACGGGUGAGUAACACGUGGAUAACCUACCUAUAAGACUGGGAUAACUUCGGGAAACCGGAGCUAAUACCGGAUAAUAUAUUGAACCGCAUGGUUCAAUAGUGAAAGACGGUUUUGCUGUCACUUAUAGAUGGAUCCGCGCCGCAUUAGCUAGUUGGUAAGGUAACGGCUUACCAAGGCAACGAUGCGUAGCCGACCUGAGAGGGUGAUCGGCCACACUGGAGCUGAGACACGGUCCAGACUCCUACGGGAGGCAGCAGUAGGGAAUCGUCCGCAAUGGGCGAAAGCCUGACGGAGCAACGCCGCGUGAGUGAUGAAGGUCUUCGGAUCGUAAAACUCUGUUAUUAGGGAAGAACAAAUGUGUAAGUAACUAUGCACGUCUUGACGGUACCUAAUCAGAAAGCCACGGCUAACUACGUG
This 497-nucleotide ribosomal RNA is filed under the name uncultured bacterium. RNAcentral describes it as "partial 16S ribosomal RNA". It matches the Rfam family "Bacterial small subunit ribosomal RNA", at positions 28 to 507 of the family's 1533-position model. The record is from RNAcentral.